ACCGACAGAGUUAUAGGCAAAACUUGGUGCAAAAAUGAGGAAAAUUUUACAUUUUCUCAAACAGGGUAUGGAACUUGGUUCCUCGAAUAACUUCCGACACAGACAUCUGAGGGCAUGGCCGUCCAAGAAGAAAAUGUAGCCAUUGGUGUCAUCUACCGACCACAGGUAAAAGAUUGGCGAUCCGGUGAAUACCGACAGAGUUAUAGGCAAAACUUGGUGCAAAAAUGAGGAAAAUUUUACAUUUUCUCAAACAGGGUAUGGAACUUGGUUCCUCGAAUAACUUCCGACACAGACAUCUGAGGGCAUGGCCGUCCAAGAAGAAAAUGUAGCCAUUGGUGUCAUCUACCGACCACAGGUUAAAGAUUGGCGAUCCGGUGAAUACCGACCGAGUUAUAGGCAAAACUUGGUGCAAAAAUGAACCUUUUGAAAUUUUCAAAUUUUUAUAUUUUGUUUAUUUUUUUCUGAUUUUUUAUUCUUUUUUUUAAUUUAAAGCAUUAUUUGAGUGAAAAGAAACUUAUUUGAACCAAUUGGCAUUAAAAUAAAUCAAUUUAAUUUUUUUGCAAAAUUUCUCAAAAAAACGUAAGGGGUAAGCCUUAUGAAAUUUUCGAGUUGAAAAUUGUUUGUAAAUUUUUUUCUGAUUUUUUAUUCUUUAUUUAACUUAAAGCAUUAUUUGAGUGAAAAGAAACUUAUUGCAACAAAUUCGCAUUAAAAUAUAUCACGUUUAUAAAUUUUGCUACAUUGCUUAAAAAUGAGGAAAAUUUUACGUUUUCUCAAACAGGGUAUGGAACUUGGUUUCUCGAAUAACUUUUGGCACAGACAUCUGAGGGCAUGGCCGUCCAAGAAGAAAAUGUAGCCAUUGGUGUCAUCUACCGACCACAAGUUGAAAAUUGUCGAUCCGUUGGAUACCGACCGAGUUAUAGGCAAAACUUGGUGCAAAAAUGAAAAUUUUGAAAUUUUCAAAUUUUUAUAUUUUUUUUUUAUUUUGUUCUGAUUUUUUAUUCUUUUUUUAAUUUAAACCAUUAUUUGAGUGAAAAGAAACUUAUUUGAACCAAUUGGCAUUAAAAUAAAUCAAUUUAAUUUUUUUUGCAAAAUUUCUCAAAAAAAACGUAAGGGGUAAGCCUUAAGAAAUUUUCGAGUUGAAAAUUGUUUGUAAAUUUUUUUCUGAUUUUUUAUUCUUUAUUUAACUUAAAGCAUUAUUUGAGUGAAAAGAAACUUAUUGCAACAAAUUCGCAUUAAAAUAUAUCACGUUUAUAAAUUUUGCUACAUUGCUUAAAAAUGAGGAAAAUUUUACAUUUUCUCAAACAGGAUAUGGAACUUGGUUCCUCGAAUAACUUCUGGCACAGACAUCUGAGGGCAUGGCCGUCCAAGAAGAAAAUGUAGCUAUUGGUGUCAUCUACCGACCACAGGUAAAAGAUUGGCGAUCCGGUGAAUACCGACAGAGUUAUAGGCAAAACUUGGUGCAAAAAUGAGGAAAAUUUUACAUUUUCUCAAACAGGGUAUGGAAUUUGGUUCCUCGAAUAACUUCCGACACAGACAUCUGAGGGCAUGGCCGUCCAAGAAGAAAAUGUAGCCAUUGGUGUCAUCUACCGACCACAGGUAAAAGAUUGGCGAUCCGGUGAAUACCGACAGAGUUAUAGGCAAAACUUGGUGCAAAAAUGAACCUUUUGAAAUUUUCAAAUUUUUAUAUUUUUUUAAUUUUUUCUGAUUUUUUAUUCUUUUUUUAACUUAAAGCAUUAUUUGAGUGAAAAGAAACUUAUUUGAACCAAUUGGCAUUAAAAUAAAUCAAUUUAAUUUUUUUGCAAAAUUUCUCAAAAAAAACGUAAGGGGUAAGCCUUAAGAAAUUUUCG
This is a long non-coding RNA of Anopheles funestus (African malaria mosquito), 1847 nucleotides long. RefSeq lists it as uncharacterized. The transcript has 3 exons. NCBI's taxonomy places the organism in Eukaryota, Metazoa, Arthropoda, Insecta, Diptera, Culicidae. The record is from RefSeq and is a predicted model, not a curated record.